GGUCAAGAGAUGUACACAAAGGAUUCUACACAGUAUAUAGACAAAUUGCGGUUUAGUUAAAAUGGAGAAGGAUGUCACUGGCUUUUUCCGGAAGAAUCGGAUAUGCCACUUUCAUACCGAGCCAGCUUUCUUCCUUUGGAUCAUUUCCGACUGGUUUCGUCCUGACUUGGAAUUAUCAGGGGUACGACCCCUGCCCCAGUCUUGAUAAUCCCACAUGAAGCGUGUCCCGUGAUCAAGACCAGAGCGCCACGACCCGUCAUCUGACAAGGAGCUAACUAGUUAAAGGCAUUAUUUAUGAAGUCAAGAGAGAAUGUGUUUAAGCCACCGCUAGAUGGUCCCUAAAGCCUAAAGUAAUUAACGGUCUCGGUCCAUACCUUGGUGGCUGUAUAUGGCUAUAUGCUCCUGCCGUGGGAGAGAGAGACAC
RNAcentral lists this long non-coding RNA (424 nucleotides) under Brassica napus (rape). RNAcentral describes it as "long non-coding RNA (BNAP_LNC004291)". Lineage: Eukaryota; Viridiplantae; Streptophyta; Magnoliopsida; Brassicales; Brassicaceae. The record is from RNAcentral.